Molecule: ribosomal RNA, 320 nt
Filed under: uncultured bacterium
Lineage: Bacteria
Description: bacterial SSU rRNA
Rfam family: Bacterial small subunit ribosomal RNA
Source: RNAcentral
UGACGGUAACUUACCAGAAAGGGACGGCUAACUACGUGCCAGCAGCCGCGGUAAUACGUAGGUCCCGAGCGUUGUCCGGAUUUAUUGGGCGUAAAGCGAGCGCAGGCGGUUUUUUAAGUCUGAUGUGAAAGGCAUGGGCUCAACCUGUGGACUGCAUUGGAAACUGUUUUUCUUGAGUGCCGGAGGGGUAAGCGGAAUUCCUAGUGUAGCGGUGAAAUGCGUAGAUAUUAGGAGGAACACCAGUGGCGAAGGCGGCUUACUGGACGGUAACUGACGUUGAGGCUCGAAAGCGUGGGGAGCAAACAGGAUUAGAUACCCUG